This 1384-nucleotide long non-coding RNA is filed under the name Bemisia tabaci. RNAcentral describes it as "lncRNA ENSSSA1UGG013099". The record is from RNAcentral. Lineage: Eukaryota; Metazoa; Arthropoda; Insecta; Hemiptera; Aleyrodidae.
UGAGAGUGAGAUAUCGACCCGAGGCGACUUGCAAGUCGAAGCGCGAUAAAGAAGCAGGAUUAAUACUCUUGUUUUGGACAUUUCUUUCAAUGGAAGAGAACAAGUACAAAGAAACAAAUCUUUAUUUCUGUUACUUAACAUUUAAAACUUUACAUUCUCACUUGUGUCGACUUUAUGAAUUGAAAGCAGACGCAUUUCGGGCAGGCGACUCCGCCGCCCAUCAUCGAUAAGACAGAGGUAUUGUUCCAACUCUCAUGAGGAGGCAAGGUGUUAUCAGACUAGAAAGCACUAUCUACCAGCAUUCUUCAGAUUUUGGCCAUAUCGUAUUCCAAAACAGAAAAAAACUGAACCGAAUCAAGUCACGUUAAGAGGAGAGAAGCUAGCAUUUGUACGAGGGCGGUGGGUUAUGUCGGCUGGCCGCAACCUAAUCAGCGUUUAUGUCCGGUCGGUGAAAGUCCAGCACUCUGAGCUUUCACCCUUCCGCGGGUAAAUAUCACGUACUCUAACCGAAUGAAUAAUGGGAGCACGGUUGCCGUAUCGUUGAAAGAGGUAAGUGGAAUUCAAAUUGAAAAUUGCUCUCGGUAAAUUCAUUUCUUAGCACAGGGUGUCUAGUUUUUUUUUUUUUUUUUUUUUUUUUUUUUUUUUUUUUUUUUUUUUUUUUUUUCAUUUUGGAAAAUCCAGAUGCAAUCCUGAUUUUUCCUGAUUUAAGACUGCUAGAUCCUAAUUUCAUAAUUUUUCCAAAUCCUAAUUUUUUGCGGAGAAAAAUUAAAAUUUCUGCAUAAACGUAUGCGAAAGCAGAACUCUAGAAUUUCGAACGGCCGACUUUUCUCAAAUUCUGAUUUUACGACUGAUUUUUCCUCAAAUCCUGAUGAAACCAGGAUUAGAUUCUAAUUGACCUCAAAUCCUGAUAGAAUCGGGAAAAUCCUGAUGCUAGACACCCUGCUAAUCUUUAUAAGAAAAUCGUUGAUUUUACAAGUUCUAUGGAGACUGUUAAAUCCUUCUUUUUUCCUUUCAAAGGACUACAUACUUAUUCCUUCUUGAUCGAUUUUGUUUGCAUUAGUCUGCAAGGGCCUCGUGGAAAGCCUAAAUAAUCAACACUUAAAAUGUGUUUUUUUAACGACAAUCAUCAAAAAAACUCUAGGACAUUUUCGGGAUGGUUAAAAUCGACGAAUUAAUCUUCGAAUACGUGCAAAGGACCUUUACCACCUCAUGUUAGGAAAAAUAGCAGGACCUGGUAUGGUUACAUUUUGAAGGUACAACGAACGAAUUUUAAGGUUCGAAAUUGGCUGAAAAAGGUAUUUACUGAAGACAACAGUAAACACAACUCUGUCACGGAACAAUACGCACUUACUGCUGUUCUGUCUGGAGUGAGGUUAAUUUUAGC